AUUGAACGCUGGCGGCAGGCUUAACACAUGCAAGUCGAGCGAGGUGAUGGUGCUUGCACUAUCACUUAGCGGCGGACGGGUGAGUAAUGCUUAGGAAUCUGCCUAUUAGUGGGGGACAACACCUCGACAGGGAUGCUAAUACCGCAUACGUCCUACGGGAGAAAGCAGGGGAUCACUUGUGACCUUGCGCUAAUAGAUGAGCCUAAGUCGGAUUAGCUAGUUGGUGGGGGAAAGGCCUACCAAGGCGACGAUCUGUAGCGGGUCUGAGAGGAUGAUCCGCCACACUGGGACUGAGACACGGCCCAGACUCCUACGGGAGGCAGCAGUGGGGAAUAUUGGACAAUGGGGGGAACCCUGAUCCAGCCAUGCCGCGUGUGUGAAGAAGGCCUUAUGGUUGUAAAGCACUUUAAGCGAGGAGGAGGCUCUUUUGGUUAAUACCCAAGAUGAGUGGACGUUACUCGCAGAAUAAGCACCGGCUAACUCUGUGCCAGCAGCCGCGGUAA
This 503-nucleotide ribosomal RNA is filed under the name uncultured bacterium. Its description in RNAcentral is "partial 16S ribosomal RNA". It matches the Rfam family "Bacterial small subunit ribosomal RNA", at positions 30 to 523 of the family's 1533-position model. The record is from RNAcentral.